This is a long non-coding RNA of Mustela erminea (ermine), 536 nucleotides long. RefSeq lists it as uncharacterized. The record is from RefSeq and is a predicted model, not a curated record. Lineage: Eukaryota; Metazoa; Chordata; Mammalia; Carnivora; Mustelidae. The transcript has 3 exons.
CUAAACUACCCAGGCACCCCAUAAUGUGGUAUUUCUGAAUGACAGUUUGACCACGACAGUUUGUCAUGGUCAUCAAAGAUCCCAAAAGCAAAAACUCUCUUCCUGGCACCGCCUCAGUCAGCCAUGAUUUCAAUGACUUCAAUUUCCCCAUAGUGUUCAGAAUAAUCUCUUAAGUGAUGUUCUUCAGUGUCUUCUCUAAUGUCACCAACAAAAAAUCUUUUUCUACAGGUAAGUGGGCACCAGGUCUUUGAGAAUCUUCUCUUUGGUUCCACAACUCUCCAAUCCACCUGCCCCCUGAAGCACUUAGUGUUUGGCUCUCUCAUUACACCACAUAGUCCGUGAGCUUUCUGCAUUGCUCAAAAUGGCUCCUCAGACUCAUCAGCUGUUUGAAAGCUCCCAUGAAGAACUCUGCAGCUGCUCAGAAUCUUUGGGAGACUGACUUCAACAUGCCAGCAGGAGGAGAAACUUGAACAGUGCUUACUUGCCAGCAUUCACAGACAGAGACCACAAGCAGGCAGCGAAAGAGGAAGGGAAGC